This 483-nucleotide ribosomal RNA is filed under the name uncultured bacterium. RNAcentral's name for it is "partial 16S ribosomal RNA". It matches the Rfam family "Bacterial small subunit ribosomal RNA", at positions 28 to 507 of the family's 1533-position model. The record is from RNAcentral.
GACGAACGCUGGCGGCGUGCUUAACACAUGCAAGUCGAACGCUGAAGCUCAGCUUUUGUUGGGUGGAUGAGUGGCGAACGGGUGAGUAACACGUGAGUAACCUGCCUCCUUCUUUGGGAUAACGCCCGGAAACGGGUGCUAAUACUGGAUAUUCACUGGUCUUCGCAUGGGGGUUGGUGGAAAGGGUUUUUCUGGUGGGGGAUGGGCUCGCGGCCUAUCAGCUUGUUGGUGGGGUGAUGGCCUACCAAGGCUUUGACGGGUAGCCGGCCUGAGAGGGUGACCGGUCACAUUGGGACUGAGAUACGGCCCAGACUCCUAGGGGAGGCAGCAGUGGGGAAUACUGCACAAUGGGCGCAAGCCUGAUGCAGCGACGCCGCGUGAGGGAUGGAGGCCUUCGGGUUGUGAACCUCUUUCGCUCAUGGUCAAGCCGCAACAAUGGUUGUGGUGAGGGUAGUGGGUAAAGAAGCGCCGGCUAACUACGUG